This is a long non-coding RNA of Mus musculus (house mouse), 2293 nucleotides long. RefSeq annotates it as predicted gene, 51673. The record is from RefSeq and is a predicted model, not a curated record. Lineage: Eukaryota; Metazoa; Chordata; Mammalia; Rodentia; Muridae. The transcript has 3 exons.
CCGCCCACGCCAAUUUAGAGCCCCGGUGGCCCCGCCCAUACACUCUGCUCACGCCCGCAGCGUGCGCCAGAGGCGUCACCCACGCGCCCGCCCCUGGUUUGCGUGAGCCGGAGGCGGGGCGUCUUCGCGUGCUCUGGCCCACGUGACCGCAGCCGGGCACAAACUAAGGGGUCAGCGUCGCCUCGCCAGCUGUUGCUAUUUCCGCCUUAGGUGCCCAGGAAGUGGGCGGUGAGGCCUCUGGGUUUCCAAGACUCCUUUUUUACUCCAUCCCGCGCUUGCUGAGCCUUGCAUCUGCGUCCAGCCUGCCCCCAGCUCCCCAUAAGCUUGGAUGUCACGUGGAUUGGACUUGCCUCAGACUGUGUAGCCGUGGUUGGCCUUAAAUUCUUGGUCCUCUGCCUCCACCUGGUCAAAUGAUGGCUGGCCUUCAACUCUGGAUCCUACUGCUCCAGCCUCCUGGGACUGAGACUACAACCCUAUGCCAGGCCUGCUGGAAUCAAGUUUUUCUCAGGGGGAAAUUAUACAUACUCUGAUUGGGAAAAGUCAUCACAUUUAGAAUUGAGCACGUUCUUGAGCUCAUAUAAUGUGUUCAAAACAAUGGCAGAGGUCUAGGGGAGAUGGCUCAGUUGGAUAGAAGCCAGCCUGAAGUCAUAAGUUAGAUUCCCACAACCCUCAUCAUGGAAGGAGAAGUCCCAACCCCUGUGCUGUGGCAUCCCCUCCCACGCACAUCUACAUAAAUGAGCAAGUGUAAUGAUAAAAAUUAUAUCUCCGAUUCUCUCACACACACAUAGCCACACCCCAGAGGCAGACAGGAAAGCCUCAGUGGAGAAUUAGUAUUUUAAUGUGCCAGGUUUAUUCUCAGUCUCAUGAAAAGAGUAGAUCCAAGUGAACCAGCUAUUUUUAGUUGGCUCCUUGUUUCUCUGGAGGCUGUUAUCUGAAAUAACAACAAUGAGCAACUUGGAAGUCUCCAUAAUCACUCCUUUACAGGGGAGCAGCCUUCCCUCCCCCCCCCCCCCAGACCCUACCCCCAAUGCAUGGGUGUUUACUCCAAAAAAGUGCCUGCCUAGAGCCUGACAAAGGCUCAGAGAUCAACCACACUCGAAAAGGAAAUCAAAACAGAGACCAAAGUUCUGCAAAGGGUGUGUGCCCUCUUUGUAGCUUUACUCAAAACAGCAGGCCACAGUCACUGUAGGAUAAGUGGUCAGAGCUCUGACAGAAAGGCAUCCAGGCCUCGCUGUACUUCAGGAGCCAUAAAGCUGUACUUGAAAGGAAACACACACACACACACACACACACACACACACACACACAAAUGAGGGAGGGAGCCGCACGUGGUGGCGCACACCUUUAAUCCCAGCACUUGGGAGGCAGAAGCAGGUGAAUUUCUGAGUUCGAGGCCAGCCUGGUCUACAGAGUGAGUUCCAGGACAGCCAGGGCUACACAGAGAAACCCUGUCUCGAAAAAACUAAAAAAACAAACAAAAAAAAUAAAAUGAGGGAACUGCACAUGCCUACCUACACUAGUGACUAUGAGAAGAAUGGCAGGCUGCGGUGCCAUCACCCUGAAUCCUAGCACUCCUGAAGGAGGGGCACCAAGAUUACUCAAAGUUUGAAGCCAGUGUGCUUGGGCUACAUAAUAAGUACCCGGUUAUCCUGGGCUCUAGCGUUAAGACCCUGUUUCAAAAAGGAGACAGAGAGAGGGAAGGAGAAUGUGAAUCCCAACAACUAUUUAAUAAAAAAGUAAAGCCUAUAACCACAAAACUAAUAGGUAAUGAAGAUAGAAAUGUAAACAAAGCAAAGGCCAGAGUUUAGGCCUUUAGAAGAGGGUUUGCCUAGCAGGGAGGAGGCCCUAGGCUUGACUCUUAGCAUGAUAUAAACAGUGCAGAGAUACAGUGUAUCUAGGUUGGCUCAGUGCUUGCUUAGUAUGCGGUAUGCCCUCGGUUCAACCUCCAGCACCCCCUAAACAGGGCGUGAUGGUGCGCUGUGUCUGUAGUCCAGCACUGAGGAGGUGGAGGGAGGGGGAUCAGAGGUUCAAGGUCAUCCGCACCUAUGCAUUGAGUUUGAUGUCCUCCUAUCUUAUAAAAACAAAAAUGGAAGAAGAAACAAAACCAAUAAGAACUAAUCUGGAAAGCAUAUAAAAUGAGUGAUCUAAAUCUGUUAAUGUCAAUAAUUACUUUAAAUAGUAAUGGAUCAAAAUUUCUAAUUAAAAGGAAGAGUUUAACACAUUGGCAUUUAAAAAGCAAGCACAGGGCUGGCGAGAUGGCUCCAUGGUUAAGAGCGCCGACUGCUCUUCCGAA